This is a long non-coding RNA of Lepidothrix coronata (blue-crowned manakin), 1657 nucleotides long. RefSeq lists it as uncharacterized. The transcript has 7 exons. The record is from RefSeq and is a predicted model, not a curated record. Lineage: Eukaryota; Metazoa; Chordata; Aves; Passeriformes; Pipridae.
CAGAGCCCCUGCAGAGGAAGUGAGAAAGGUCUGUCUCCAUCCUGCUUAAGCCUCCCUGGCCUCAGGGUGCUGAGACAUGACGUCCUGCCAUGCCCCUCUGAGCAGCAGAUGCUCGGUGUUCCCUUGCCGUUGCCAGGUGCCGCGUUGUCCCCUCCGUGGGACACAGGUGCAACUCACGUGAUGCCGAAGUGGAACACGUAGAGGAAGAUGCAGUUUGCAGCCACAUUGACGAUGUUGCCGAUGACCCCACUCAGCACCAGCGGCCACAUGAUCAUCUGCAAAGAAGAGGGGACGGGACUACGGUGUCUUCACAAAGGCUCCGGGAGGGAGGUGUGAAGGUACCCACCAGCCCCUGGGCUCAGCGCCUUUCCCAGGCAGAAAAUAAACUUCCAGUGACGUUGCCUGCUUGGAAAACGAAUGUGUUGGAGCGCCAGCGGGCCGGGGGGAGCUCGUGCCUGGCACUGGGAAUGCUUACAGCGAUGGCCAGCGUGACGGAGGCCAGCUCAACCUUGCCCAGGUGGCCACAGAAUAUGGAGCUAACGAGGUGUAUCAGGAAGAUCAGCAGCUGGAUCAGGAUCUAAGCACAGAGGAGAGGAGAGGCGAAGCUCCCGGGUGUGAGAUUGUCCUGGCCAGCGGCCACUGCCUCACCAUUCUCCUCGGGGAGGUUCUCUGUCUUCGUGCUGCCAUUCUCCUCAGGAAGGUUCUCCGGCUUCAUGCUGCUGCUCUGCCAGGGGAGUGGAACAACCCCUCUCUCCGCGCUCUGUUAAACCACGGUGGGCCCACAGGUAACCAGCACCCCGAACCAGGGUGACAGGGAGGUGCCAUUCAUCUGCUCUACACGGGAUUUACCUCCAAGGGCCCAGCAUGUGCCACGUCUCAGUCACUCAGCUGCAGGUCUACAGUGAGCUACAGGCAGCUUUGCACCCUCCACGGCACCCCAGCCUGCAGGGAGGAAUCACUCCACACGCUGGAAUACUCACUGCUGUCGCAUCAAGGAAGUGGAAUGGAGCAAAAAUGAGCAUCACUUUGGACACCAAGUUAACGAUCUCCCUGUUGGGAAGAUGACCUGAGCUCACCUGUGCACAGCAGUGCAGUGAUGCAGGAGGUCUUGGCUUGCACCGCAUCCCCCGAUCCCAAGGCAUUGCCCACCCUGACACCCGCAGCCACGCUGAUGCCCAGAGGCACCUGAGCAGCAGGAGACAAGAGGAGCACACCUGGAUGUGCAGCUGCUGUGGCAGGUCUGAGAGGCAUCACCUGCCUGGUACUGUCCCCUGUUCCCACCUCAGAUUGACCACAGAGCCACUGUUUGGGGGCUGUUCCCAGGCUGUUUGGGGUUUCCUACACCCAGCCCUUACCAUGUAGGCGGCACCGGCGAGCUCGUAGAUGACGGUCUGUGCACCCAGCUCCACCACACUGAGCAGCCCUGGAAAAGAUUCAUCACCUCCUUUGUUUGCUGACAAGGAGGCAGUGACUACAGAGUUCCCACUGAAUGGAUGGGAACACCUGCAGUGUCCUGCAGACCCGGUCCUGUAGGUGAGGAAGCUGCUGGCAGGAGGAGCUCUGGGGACACAGUCAAGAAGCAGCCACCAGAGCAGGUACAGCUGUAAGGCAGCCUGUUGAACCACAGGAAAAGAGGAUUUGGACUCACCAGCCAAGA